RNAcentral lists this ribosomal RNA (279 nucleotides) under uncultured bacterium. RNAcentral describes it as "partial 16S ribosomal RNA". It matches the Rfam family "Bacterial small subunit ribosomal RNA", at positions 506 to 784 of the family's 1533-position model. The record is from RNAcentral.
UGCCAGCCGCCGCGGUAAUACGUAGGGUGCUAGCGCUGUUCGGAAUUAUUGGGCGUAAAGCGCGUGUAGGUGGCUUGUUAAGUCGGGUGUGAAAGCCCAGGGCUCAACCCUGGAAGUGCAUCCGAAACUAGCUCGCUAGAGGGCAGCAGAGGGAGGUGGAAUUCCUAGUGUAGAGGUGAAAUUCGUAGAUAUUAGGAGGAAUACCGGUGGCGAAGGCGACCUCCUGGACUGUUCCUGACACUGAGACGCGAAAGCGUGGGUAGCAAACAGGAUUAGAUA